This 435-nucleotide ribosomal RNA is filed under the name uncultured Lachnospiraceae bacterium. RNAcentral's name for it is "bacterial SSU rRNA". It matches the Rfam family "Bacterial small subunit ribosomal RNA", at positions 341 to 792 of the family's 1533-position model. The record is from RNAcentral. Lineage: Bacteria; Bacillati; Bacillota; Clostridia; Lachnospirales; Lachnospiraceae. RNAcentral also lists the same sequence under 1 other name.
ACGGAAGGCAGCAGUGGGGAAUAUUGCACAAUGGGGGAAACCCUGAUGCAGCGACGCCGCGUGAAGGAUGAAGUAUUUCGGUAUGUAAACUUCUAUCAGCAAGGAAGAAAAAAGACGGUACUUGACUAAGAAGCCCCGGCUAAAUACGUGCCAGCAGCCGCGGUAAUACGUAUGGGGCAAGCGUUAUCCGGAUUUACUGGGUGUAAAGGGAGCGUAGACGGCAAGACAAGUCAGAAGUGAAAGCCUGGGGCUCAACCCCGGAACUGCUUUUGAAACUGUCUAGCUAGAGUGCAGGAGAGGUAAGUGGAAUUCCUAGUGUAGCGGUGAAAUGCGUAGAUAUUAGGAGGAACACCAGUGGCGAAGGCGGCUUACUGGACUGUAACUGACGUUGAGGCUCGAAAGCGUGGGGAGCAAACAGGAUUAGAUACCCUGGUA